Molecule: non-coding RNA, 30879 nt
Organism: Oryctolagus cuniculus (rabbit)
Lineage: Eukaryota; Metazoa; Chordata; Mammalia; Lagomorpha; Leporidae
Source: RefSeq, a predicted model, not a curated record
AAUGAAAUAUUUGUGCUAUGAGUUUUCUGUUAUUAACUAAAUAGAAACAAGUACAAUUAACCAAAAGAUCACUUCAAUAUGAAACUUUUUAUAAACACAGUUAUUUCUUUCUUUCCUUUUUUUAAGCACUGUUGUGUAUCACUUAUAUUAACAUGGUUUUACCCUUUCCUGGAGUAUUAUAUUAAAUAAAUUGGCAUUAAAUACCUAAAUACAAAAUAAGAAUAUAAAUAACAAAUUAAAUAUCAAUAUUAUAAAACCAGGCUCUUUGUAUCUAUCUUGGACAUAUAUAACUACAAAUACUAAAUAGAUUGGAAAAUGAUAAACUAUUUUCUACCUACUUCAGAGUUGUACCUUUUAUGAUUUUUUAAAAAGUAAUUCCAACUCUUUUUUUACUUGCUUAUCUUUAACAACUAUUCUAAAGGGCUCCAAAAUCUUGGGAAGCCAGCCUUUUAUUUCUCUCACAGCAUAAAUUUUGUGGGACUUCUACAUCAAAAGAUUACAUUUAACUUGUAGUUCAUUUCAUGCCUACUCAUGGAAGAGCCGUCAGACAAGGGUCCUGGGCCACUAUGCCAUCUUCAAAAUUGAAAUAAAUUACAUUACCAUUUAAAGGGAAGGUUUGCUUGAAAAGAAAUUGACCUUAUUUAAAACGGAAAAAAACAGUAAGGUAUCUGCAUUCCUCCCCAUAUUCGUUAAGAUUUAAGUAGAUAAAAUUUUGUACAAAAAUGAACUCUUAAACAAUAUGUACAAUGCACUAAAAUGGAAUUUCCCAGCAGAGUUUGUACAAACAGAAACUAUGGAUAUUCUCAGAAUUUCAUUUGUGGUGUUAAUUCAACUCAUAGACCUAAGGUCAUUCAGUAAGCAUGUCUACUUAUCAAGCUGUACAUCGAGGAAGGUUUUCUUUUUUUUGUUUGUUUCCACAGGCAGAGUGGACAGUGAGAGAGAGAGACAGAGAGAAAGGUCUUCCUUUGCCGUUGGGUAACCCUCCAAUGGCUGCCAUGGCCGGCGCGCUGCGGCUGGGGCACCGUGCUGAUCCGAAGGCAGGAGCCAGGUACUUAUCCUGGUCUCCCAUGGGGUGCAGGGCCCAAGCACUUGGGCCAUCCUCCACUGCACUCCCUGGCCACAGCAGAGAGCUGGCCUGGAAGAGGGGCAACCGGGACAGAAUCCGGCACCCCGACCGGGACUAGAACCCGGUGUGCCGGCUCCGGAAGGCAGAGGAUUAACCUAGUGAGCCGCAGCGCCGGCCGCUAUGGCAGCUUUUAUCUUUGGACUAUGUCUAUGUGGAUUAGUGGAGUGUCUGCUUUCAUCGAAUACCUAGAGGCCUGUGGUGGGUUUGGCCAGAGAGCUCUUUCAGUGCUCCAGGUUGAAGGAAUUGUUAAGGUGACUGACACCCAGGUUGGACAUGGUAAAUCUUUUUUUUGUCACAGGGAAGGGUUGUCCUGCUCUGUUGGUGUAGACUCAGCUCACUUCCUCUCUUCAAAAGACACCAGUGCCUGGGUGCUAGCCUCAGUGGGUAUAUAAUAAAUGUGCUUCCACAAGUAGCACACAAAGGGUUUAUGCAGUCUUCACUGUAAGCAGAUUCACCAGCAGUGUCCCUCACCGUGGAACCAGGGAACCCUGAACAUGUGGAGUCUCCCACGGUGACUGCUCAAAGUCCCAGCCAUACCUUGAGUCCUCCCAUGCAGCCUCAGUGUUUUCAGAGUGCUGGCACUCAAGCCUCCCACAGUCACGAGCUCCCAGCCCCUGUCAGUUCUCCUUGCCUGACUUAGGAGUUUCUGCUUGGCUGGUUCCUGGACCCGGACAGGAGCUGGCUCAGCUGUUAGGUAUGUCCAUAAUGGCACACUCUCUCUAUCCACUCAUUACAGAGCACUAUUAGGGUGAUUGGGGAGAAAGUAACGUGCCCCCCCUCUUGUUUUCCAAAUCCGAUUCCAAAUCCGAUUCCCUCCAGGCUUCUCCUGCAGCUUUAUCCCCAGUGGCUUGGGCUGUGGCAGUCUGAUUUCAACCCACUCUCCAAAGCUGGUAUGGAGGCUCUCUGCUGCUGAGGUCCUGAUUUAUGUGUAUCCACACCCUCUACACUGAGUCACUCUAAUUUUUUUUGUUAAGAUUUAUUUAUUUGUUUGUUUGCAAGUCAGUUACACAGAGAAUGAGAUGCUGAGAGAGUCUUCCAUCUGCUGGUUCACUCCCCAGAUGGCUGCGAUGGCUGGAGCUGCACCAAUCCGAAGCCAGGAGCCAAGAGCCUCUUCCGAGUCUCCCAUGUGGGUGCAGGGGCCCAAGGACAUGGGCCAUCCUCUGCUCUUUCCCAGGCCACAGCAGAGAACUGGAUGACAAGUGGAGCAGCCGGGACUUGACUUGCGCUCAUAUGGGAUGCCAACACUGUGGGCAGCGGCUUUACCUGCUAUGCCACAACGCCGGCCCCGAGUCCCUCUAAUUUGCAUGGAGUUUCUUCUGCUGUUUUCUCCCUAACUCUUUCCUGAGACUGCGCUCUCUCCACUUUUUUUAAUAAACUAUCUUCUAGACUAAUCUUAAUCAAAUCCCUGCUCUAAUUCUCAUCCAGCUCCCUGCCUAUGCACCUGGGAAAGCAGCAAAGAAUAGCCCAGAUACUUGGACCCCUUCACCCACAUGGGAGACCAGGACAAAGUUUCUGGCUCCUGUCUUUGGUUUGGCCUGUCCAUGGUCAUUUAUGCAUGUCCACAUAAUUUAUGAAGUGAACCAAUGGAUAGAAGAUAUCUCUCUGUGACUCUCCUUCUCUCUAUAAGACUGCCUCUCAAAGAAAUAAAUGUUUUAAAAUGUAAUGUAUAUGAGCAAAAUUGACAUUUUGACAUUUGAUUAUUGUACAGCCAUUGUCUCUACUGUUGAGUAACCGUUCUCUUUUUUUCUACUUACUAUUUCUUGAAUUAUUUACUUAGUGGAGGGUUAAGCUUACGAUUAUAAAAUAAACUGAAAGUAUGUAAUUGUAAAAAUUGAAAGGAAGGAGGAGAGAGGAUGGGCAGGAGGGUGGGUAGGGUAGGAAGUAUUACUAUCUCCUAAAUCUGUAUAUAUGAAACCCAUGAAAUUUGUUCACUUUAUAUAAAUAACAACAUUUUUAAAUAUUAUUGAUACUAUAAUUCAAAUCUUAUUAAAGUAACAAACUAAUUUAGGCAGAAUCAACAGUCUAUGAAUAUUGAUUAUAUAUAUCCUGAAAACAAUAUACAUGUCAUAUAUAUAUAUAGUUUUGUUUAUUCCAAGUAGUUUUAUCUUUGUGUUUUUCAUAAUAAUUUGUUUUGUUUUUAAUACCAUCAAUUUCCAUAUGUCAAUUUUAUAACUAGCCACUCUUCUAAAUUAUUAUUUUUUCCUAGUUUUUCAUUAAUUUUCUUGGCUUUAUCAGGUGUAUAUUCAUCUCAUAAUGUAAAUAAUAAUAUAAACUCCUCUUCUAAUGUUUAUAUCUCUACUGUUUUCUUAUCUAAUUAGCUAGUAUAUUUAGAAUUAUAUUGAAUAUAAUUGUUUUUAUUUUGUGGGAUCCAUUAAUACUUUUACUACCUCUGGUAACACAUAACAUUAUAACUGUCUUGUGUUUUUCUGAUUUGCUUUUUUAAGAAAUAAUUCCUUUUAUUUUUAGAUUUAUUUUAUUAAUUUGAAAAGUAGAGUUACAGAGAGAGAGAGAGGAAGAGACAGCGAGAUCUUCUAUCUUCUGGUUCACUCCCCAGAUGACCAUAGCUGCCAGGGCUGGGCCAGGCUGAAUCCAGGAUCCAGGAGCUUUUCCAGGUCUCCCAUAUGGAUGCAGGGACCCAAGUUCUUGGGCCAUUUUCUACUGUUUCUCUAGGUGCAUCAGCAGGGAGCUGGAUUGGAGGUAGAGCAGGCAGGUCUGAAACCAGUGCCCUAAUUGGAUACCAGCAUUGCAGGUGGAGGCUUAACCUGUUACACCACAGCGCUGACCCUAACAUAACUUUCAUAGCUCCAAGAAAAGAAAAAAGUAGUUUUUACAAAAUGUAAUAUUCUUAGAAAGUGAAAUAAAACCAUAUAACUGAAUUCCUAGAGUUACGUGAAUUAAAUGACCAAAAAAAAUCCCUCUUUUUUCUGUGGCUACUUUAUGAUUUACUGUUUAUCUAUGGUCUUCAAUAGUUUGACAUGAUGUCCUUAGAUGUAAUUUUCUUUUGAUAUUUUCUGCUUCAGAUUCGCUCAGUUUCUUGGAUCUGUGAGGGUUUUUGGUUUAUUUGUUUUGUUUUGUAUUCAUUUUGUUUUUACCAAACAUCUGAGAGUUUGGCUUUUACUUUUUCAGAUAUUUCUCAUGCCUCAUUUUCUUUCUCUUCUCCUUCUACGAUGUCCAAUACAAACAGGAUUGAUUAGUCAGUUUUGUUAUUGUUAUAUGGAUAUGUGAGUUCCUGAAAUCCCUUUUUCCCUUAAUAUUUUUCUCACUGUUCUUUAGUGAUUUCUAUUUAUCUAUCCUCAAUUCAUUGGUUGGUUUCUCUACCAUCUCCACUAUGUUGUUAAUCUCAUCCAGUUAAUUUUUCAUUGUGAAAAAUUUGUCUUUUUCAGUUCUAUAAUCUGAUUUCACUUCUUUUGAAAAAAAUUUGAUAAAAUAUAUGUAACAUUAUAUUUUCCAUUAUUAUCUAUUUUUUUAAAGAUUUAUUUUUAAUUUAUUUGAAAGUCAGAGUUACACAGAGAGAGAAGGGGAGGCAGAGAGAGAAGAGGUCUUCCAUCUGAUGGUUCACUCCCCAAUUGACUGCAGCAGCCAGAGCUGCACUCAUCCAAAGCCAGGAGCCAGGAGCAUCUUCUGGGUCUCUCAUGUGGGUGCAGGAGCCCAAGGACUUGGGCCAUCUUGUACUGCUUUCCCAGGCCAUAGCAGAGAACUGGAUGACAAGUGGAGCAGCUAGGACUUGAACUGGUGCCCACGUGGGAUGCUGGCACUGCAUGCAGCACUUUACCCCUACACCACAGUGCCAGCCCCCCAUUUUGAUUUUUAUGUAUACUUGAUCCUUUUUAUUGCUUCAUUUCCCUGCUGCAAUUCAGAUUUUAUAUUAAUUAUGAUUAUCUUUUCCUUUAGGUUCUUGAUAAUAGCUACGUUAAAAUACUUGUCUGAACCAUCUCAGAGUCUGUUCUUUUGACUGCUUUUUUCUAAGGACUUAGGUCAUAUUUUUCUUUGGGGUUAGAUUCUCUUUUCCAUUGAAGCUUUUUGACUUUUUCCUAACACUUAAAAACUGAUUGUUACCUUUAUCUAGUCAAGGCAUGGUUUUAUGUCGUCUUUGCAUUGGUCUGUUUUGCUUUUGACCUUAAUCCUGGGGUAAUUCCCAAAAUCCUAGUGAUAUAAUCUUUCUUCUAAAAUGUGACCUUCUAGUAUUUCUGUGGAAAUCCUGAAUUGCCUCAUGUAGUGAAUGCAGCAGAUCCCUGUCUCAGCUGGUUUUUGUUUUUUUUUUUUUGUUGUUGUUGUUGUUGUUGUUUUCACCAUUGGGUUCCUUGGAAACUUAACCAGGCAGAGGUCAGGUUAGGUGGGAGUUCAUAUGAAAAAUUUGUAGGUCUCCCUCUGUUUUUCCCUUUCCGGAACCCCUUCCUCUACCUUCAAUUUUCAGCUAUUCUCUCAACCCUGAAUUCUGGCCUCUGAUACCUCCAUUCAAUAAUGCUGUGGUUUUCUGCUGAAAUUCUACCUGUUCUCAAAACUUUGGACCUCAGAGAAAAGCCAUAUAAAAAUAAAUCUUUGCUGGGCGAUAUUCUCUUCUUUCAAAGGUCAAAUCCUCUCUCAUCCUGUUUUAGCUCAUGUAUGUUUGUACAAGUGACUUUUGAUCACUCUUCAGUAUGUCUUCAAAUAGUUGUUUUUGUUUGUUUCACUAUUUUUCCAUAGUUUAUAAUUGUUAUCGCUGAGUGACUGUGAUUCAAAUCACUCCACUUUUAACCAGAAUUGGAACUCCUAGCUCUUUCUAUAAAAAUAAAUAAAUAAAUAAAAUUGCCAGUUAAACUCAUUAUUCACACUCAUGUGACCACUUAGACCUAGAUUUGUUCCUGACUCUAUUUAUUAGUGUGAUACUUCAAAUUUCUGAUCAUCACUGUCCCCGUAUGUAAAGUAGAAGUGGUCAUUUCUACUUCAAAGAACUGCUUUUAGAUAUUAAAUGUAAAAAUACCUGUAAAUCAUGUGGCACUUUAAUAACAUAGUUCUUUUAAAACAUCAGAAGGGCAAAUAUUACUCUGUGGAGUGUUACUACUGGGUACCAGCAGUAUAAGUUAUUUUUGUGUUACCCAGAGGUCCCAGUUUCAGUAUUAUCCCAAUACAUUGUGAUAAUAUUUCACAGGAGGAGCAGCCAAACAAGGGUCAGUCAUAGCAUACUCAGUGAUACAGGAAAUGUUGCUGUCUCUUCUGGGUACAUUUAAAACCAGCAAACUGGUGAUCAGAAAAUACUUCUGUAGCUUUUUUUGUUUCUCUGCAUAAGAAGACUGAGUCUAAAGAAUUGUCAGAUUUUAAAGCCAUGUGGAGGGGCCUGUGCUGUGGUGCAGUGGGUUAAUGCCCUGACCUGAGGCACCAGCAUCCCAAAAGGGCUCCAUUUCAAAUCCCAGCUGCUCCACUUCCAAUCCAGCUCUCUGCUAUGGCCUGGGAUAGCAGUAGUGAAGUAGGCAGGCAUAUAGGUUAAAAUUGAUUAGGUUUGUGAGCUGGAGGACCACAUCUUCACCACGCCCCUGUGUGACCUCAUCCCCCUACCUGGCCACACCUGGGUGCCCACCAGCCAAUCAGGUUAAUUAACCACUCCCCUUGGAAGUGAGUUAAAAGCCUGGGACACAGUGUGUCCGGCCCAGCUCUUCUUCCCUGGCCUCUUGCCAGGAUGGGGGCUUGCUGUAGCCCUGUGCCUCCAGGGCACGUGGCCUUCGGGCCACUUCCUCUAGGCUUCCUGGCCUAAAUGCUCCUCCACGUGGCUGGCUGGUUCCUGGUGCUCGGUAUGAACCCAGAUUUACCUCUCUCUCUUAAUAAAGCUCUCACUCUCCCAUGCAUCUUUCGCACUAAAUAAAACUUAAAACGUACCAUGCUGCCUCAUUUAUCUGUGCCGGUAUUUAGAAUUCUUCUCUAAAUAUUAGGCAGGAACCCUCUUGGGCUUACUAAUAUUGGGGAUUUAUUAGUAAGCAUAUGGUGAAAUUGUAUGGUACCCCAAAUUCCGGUAGCAUUUGUUUAUGUGGUCGGUAUAGAGUGUAAUAAAACAUACACCACUAUUUAAUGACUAUUCUAUCAUCAGAGAUUCCUUACAACUCAAAAAUGAAUGAUUUGUACCCUGGGUAAACAUGCAGUUUCUGAAAUUGGUUAUUGAAUGGGUUUUUCUAUGAAUAGUUAACAUUAGUGUCCAGACUGUCUGCUAGAAUUAUGUUAUGAAUGUGUGCUUAUAUGUUGUUUUCUUAUAAUUUAAGAAAUACAUAGGAUAUGUGUGUGAUUUUUCAGAUACAAUUUGCAAUAGUGGAAGCAAUAUAAUGCUGAAGAUAAAAGGGGAACUAGCUGAGGUUGCAUUACUCUCCCCCCCUUCCUGCUUUCUCUCUCCCUCUCUACAUCCCUCCCCUUCCCACUCCCCCCCCCCCCCCGGUCUGGUAAGCAUUAUUACAGUUGCUUUUCACAUUUAUGCCUGUUCAAAUAACAAUCCAUCAAUCAUGUAAACUUAGCCCCAGAUUCUGAUCUCUAAUACAUAGCAUGAAAUACAUGUAUUUCUUUGCCACCACCCCCCCCAAAAUGCUCAAGUAACAUCUGAGAUUAAAAUCUAUCCUUUCAAAUUGAUUUUAUUUUUAUCUAAGUAAGAAGCAAACUGCAGUGUCAGAUGAAGAAAUAAAAUAUUUCAUGUCAGGAUGUGGUUUCCUUUUUAAUAUAUAAAAUACUUACAGAAUCAAGUCUGCCUGUAUUUCUUUAAUCAUAAUAAUGGCUUUGAAAGAAAGUAGAAACAUUGUUAUUUAUGCUUUUUACAAUGGAAUCUUUUAUCCUGGAGCAAUCAUAUACACUAAUACGUUUUGUAGUAGAAGGCCAUGUUAUAAAAAGAACAUUACCUAAGGUUAUAAUAUCUGAAAAGCAAAUGAAGACUAUUUAACAUAGAAGGUGAAAUUCAUCAGAAUAUGUUUUAUAUAUGUUUCCAAGGAAAUUAACAAUUUUUAUAACAACUAUAAAAUAAAAACUUAUCAGUAAAAUAAAAAUAUUUAAAAUAAUAAAGCUGUCUUGUAUUGCUAUUUAUGUUACUUUUUAAAAUUAUGGGAUAACUGAUAAAUGAUUUGAAGAUAUAAUUUUUAUUUUAAUUUUCUCUCAGUCACAGAAAAUUCAUUCAAUUUAUGCACAUUUUUCUUUGUUUUUAAGCAGUGUUCAUUAACAUUUGUGAGCAAAACACUAAGCUAGUCAGUUUAGGAGAUUAAAAAAUACAUCUGUAUCAUUCUUCCUCAAAAAAGAGUGUGGUUUAGUACAACAAACAAAAUUAUACACAUCACACAGAGGUACAUAUAGAUAGAAAAUCACUAGUUACUAACAAUAAGACUGCAGAGAAGACUUGGUAUGUGCCACUUUUUAAUUGUAUUUCAGAAUCACAAGUUGUUUUUAUGCAAGAAUAGUAUAGUGCCUGGAGCAUAACAGGAGUUCAAUAUGUUGAAAGAAUAGGUGAAUAUUCUCUCACGCCUGGGUUAAAGAGCUAGUUAGCUGUAGUGUGAGUUGUAUAUGUAUAUUAACUAUUUCUGCAGGUAACCAAUUAUUUUAGAAUAAGAAUGAUUUUUAUCUGAGUUCUAACAUCUUUGUGACUUUGGGCAAAUUAUUUCUUUAAACUCCAGUUUCUUUAUCUGUAAAACAUGAUAAUCCCUAUAAGUUUGCUCUUAAGAAUAAAUGACAUAAUGUAUAUAAAGCCGAUAUUACGGUGGCUAUCAUAGGUUAGGUUAGAAAAAUUGUUACAGUUACUAUUACUACUCCUUUUUUUAUUGAUAAGAGAUGGAUGAAAGUACCUCACUAUGAAACACUAAUAAUUAAACUGUAUCACUGACUUUACAUGUGCAGAAGUAGAAUAAUUUUUAUUCCAGAUAAGUACCACUUCAUUCAGUCUACAAUUACUUGAUUUUUUUACCUAAAGAAAAAUAUGUUUUGAGUUAUAAAUUAAUUACUUAACUUUGUACUUGAUAAUUUUGUGUCUGUACCCUGAAAACUCAGAUGAGAACUUGGGAAUUAUUAUUUACUCUUUUAUUCAUUUAUUUAUUCAUUGAACAAAUAGUUACUCACAUUGUGGUAGGCACUGGUGCGACAGUGAUGAGUAGACAAUUUGCAAGUCUAGCCUGUCACAGAUUGUUCAUUAUAGGUAGUUGUAUCCUAAAUACAGUUCUUAAGAUAUAGGGACUAAAACAAGGCUUUCUUGAUAUAGGGACUAAAACAAGGCUUUCUUGAUCUGACCCCAUGAAUCAACCAGAUCAGUCAUAAGGUUUGAAAAGUUACAAAGCCCACAUUCCUGUAAGUUGUAUAAAGGAGACUUCAAAAUGUUCAUGGAAAAAAUGGAAUUUAAAAAAUAACUUAUUUUGGCACCCAAAAAAUUGGAAAUCUGUGUAUAUUUUUUCAUAAUAAGCAUUUUCAUAAACCCCCACAUAUGUAAUUAUCUGUUCUCCUCUGUCAUCUUAAAGAAAAGAUAAGCUUUGGAACAUGCUUUACAAAACUAUGAGAACCUAGAUAUAAAGAAAGAAUUAAGGUCAGGAUGUAAAUGAUCACAACUAAAUGUAAAUGAUUUUCAGUAUUCUACUAUAAGUGCACUUGUACCUACGCUCACAACUAUAUUCUUUUUUUAAAAAAGGACUUACUUAUUUAUUUGAAAGUCAGAGUUAUACAGAGAGAGAAGGAUAGGUAGAGGGAGGGAGGGAGAAAGAUACUGCAUCCACUGGUUCACUCCCCAAUUGAUCACAACAGCCGAAACUACACAGAUCCAAAGCCAGGAGCCUGGAGCUUCUUCUGGGUUUCCCAUGCAUGUGCAGGGGCCCAAGGACUUGGGCCAUCUUCUACUGCAUUCCCAGGCCAUAACAGAGAGUUGGAUAGGAAGUGGAGUAGCCGGGGUCUUGAACAGGCAUCCAUAUGGGAUGCCAGCACUGCAGGUGGCGGUUUAACCUGCUACAGCACAGUGCCGGCCCCUCAACUAUAUUCUGAUUGAAACUUUUUGACUGUCUUCUCCACUAUUAAUUACCUUAUUACUAAUUGUAGUGAAAGAAAUUUAUUGGUGAAAACAUUGUUAUAAACCUUAAAAGUCUAUGGUCCUGUUUUUCUCUUUUUUCCUGUUCACUGAUUGAUUACAUGACACAUUAAUUGACACAUAAUAAUUAUACAUAAUUAUAGAGUUCAGUGUGAUUUAAUAAAGAGUACAAAGUGUGAUUAUCAAAUCUGGGUAAUAAGCAUACCCAUCGCCUAAAAGAUUUAUCAUUUCUCUGCUGGCUCCUCUGAAAUACACAGUGUAUGAUUAUUCACUGUAGUCACCCUAGUGCCCAGCAGAGCACUGGAAUUUAUUCCUCCUUAGUAACUGUCAUUUUGUAUCUAUUUGUACUUUUACCCCCACCCAGCCUCCUCAGCCUCUGAUAACCACUGUUCGAUUCUUGACUUCUGUGAGACAAACAUUUUUUACAUUCCACAUAUGAGUGAGAAGAUGUAGUAUGCUUCUUAAAAUAAUUCCUUCUGGAUUCAUCUGUGUUGUCUCAGAGGACAGGAACCCAUCUGUUUUAUGGCUGAAUAGUAUUCCAUUGUGUACAGGAUUCCAGAAAUUUUCAUGGAAGAUGUAUAUUAUGAAAAAACUAAGAAUGGAUUUCAAAAAAAAACUAUACAACAAAAUAAACUUAACUUAAACUGCACCUUCUAUUUUUCCAUGAUUUCAUGAUUCUAUACAGAUUCCAUUUCCUUUACUCAGGAACUUCUGUAGUAUAUUCUGUAAUGGCUAUUGAUUUACAUUCUGACCAGCAGUACAUAAAUGUUCCUUUUUCUCCACAUAUUCACUAGUACUUGUUAUUUCUUGGGUUUUUUUAAUUACCAUUUUGACAGGUGUGAGGUGAGAUCUUAUUGUUGUUUUGAUUUGCACUUUCCUGAUGAUUAGUAGUGUUGAGCAUUCUUCCGUAUACCUGUUGGCUAUUUGUAUGUCUUCUUUUGAGAAGUGUCUAUUAUUUUAUGUUAUUUGCCCAUAUUUUAAUCAUAUUGUUUGCUUGAAUUCCUUGUAUAUUCUGAGUUUAACCACUUGCCAGAUGUAUAGUUUAUGAAUAUUUUCUGACGUUCUAUAGGUUGUCUCUUCACUGUUGAUUAUUUCCUCUGCUGUGCAAAAGCUUUUCAGUUGAUGUCAUUUUAUUUGCCUAUUUUUGCUUGUUGUAUGUGCCCUUGAGUUAUUCUCAAGAAACAAAUUAAAAAGACAGCUUGGGGGCCAGCGCUGUGGCACAGCAGGUUAAUGCCCUAGCCUGAAGCGCUGGCAUCCCCUAUGAGCGCCGGUUCGAGUCGCUCCAUUUCCCAUCCACCUCUCUGCUAUUGCCUGGAAAAGCAGUAGAAGACGGCCCAAGUCCUUGGGCCCCUGCACCUGCAUGGGAGACCGGGAACAAGCUCCUGGCUCCUGGCUUCGGAUUGGCUCAGCUCCAGCUGUUGCGGCCAAUUGGGGAGUGAACCAUUGGAUGGAAGACCUCUCUCUCUGCCUCUCCUCUUUCUGUGUAACUCUGACUUUCAAAUAAAUAAAUAAAUCUAAAAAAAAAAAAAAAAAAGACAGCUUGGACCACAAGUAGGUUCUGUGGCAUAGAUAGCAGGUUUAGCUGCCAAUUGGGAUACCCAGAUUCACUAUUGCAAUGCCUGGGAUCAAGUGCUGCCUCUGCUUCUGAUCCAGCUUUCUGUUAAUGCAUUUUCUGGGAGGCAGCAGAUGAUGAUGAUUCCAAUAUUUAAGUCUCUACCACCCAUGUGGGAAACUUGGAUUGAGUUCCAAGCUCUGCUCUCAAUGGCUAUUGGGGGGAUUUAGGGGCUGAACCAGUGUAGUAGAGAAGAUUCAUUCUCUCUCUCUCUCUCUCUCUCUCUCUCUCUCUCUCUCUCUCUCUCUCUUUCUCUCUCUCUCUCUCUCUUUCUCCCACCCUCACUCCCUCUCUCUCUCCCUUUCCUUUCCUCCCUCCCUCCCUCCCCUCUCAUUCUGCCUCAAAUAUAAAUAUUUUUUUAAAUGCUCUACUCAAUCCAAUGUCAUUAAACAUUUCCCCCUGUGUUUACUGUAGCAGUUUCAUAGGUUGGGUUAUUAGAUUUAAAUGUUUAAUCUAUUCGAUUCAAAUUUUUAAAAAGAUUUAUUUAUUUGAAGGCAGAGUUACAGAGAGAUAGAGAGAGGAAGAAAGAGAAAUCUUUAAUCUGCUAGUUCAUUCCCCAAAUGAUCACAACAGCCAGGGCUGGGCCAGGCCAAAGCCAGGAGUCUGGAACUCCAUCCAGAUCUCCCAGGGCUCAAACCAGAAUUCUGAUUUGGGAUUCUGACCUCGCAAGGAACAGCUUUAACCCACAGCACCAUAAUGCUGACCUUCAAUUUUUUGUUAUUAUUAUUAACAAUAUGUUGUUAUAUUAAUAAUGUGGGAAGAGAUAAGCACCUAGUUAAUUUUCUUCUUCUGGAUAUGGAUCUGAUUUUCCAAGCACCAUUUGUUGAAGAGAUUGUCUAUUCCUGCAUGGACUCUUGUGUGGACUUUUUACACUAGUACCAGGCUCUUUUGCUUACUGUAACUGUAGAAUAUGUUGAGGUCAGGCUUUUUCUUUUUCUUUUUUUAAGCUCAAGAUAGUUGUGGCUAAUACAGUUCUUUUGUCAUUCCAUAUGAAUUUUAGGGUUAUGUUUUUGUAGUUCCAUGAAGAAUGCUGUUAUUAUUUUGAUAGGAAUUGCAUAAAUCUAAAGAUUGCCUUGGAUAGUAUUGACAUUUUAACAAUAUUAAAUCUUCUAAAUCAUGAAUGUGGAAUACUUUCCAUUUACUUGUAUCUUCAAUAUUCUACCAAUGUUUUAUGGUUUACAAUAUAGAGAAAUUUUUAUGUAGAUUGUUUGUAUCUAAGUAACAAAAUUUUGUGGCUAUUAAAAAUGAGAUAUUUUUCUUUUUUUGACAGGCAGAGUGGACAGUGAGAGAGAGAGACAGAGAGAAAGGUCUUCCUCUGCCAUUGGUUCACCCUCCAAUGGCCGCCACGGCCAGUGCGCGGCCCAAGCACUUGGGCCAGUGCAGGGCCCAAGCACUUGGGCCAUCCUCCACUGCACUCCCUGGCCACAGCAGAGAGCUGGCCUGGAAGAGGGGCAACUGGGACAGAAUCCAGCGCCCCAACCGGGACUAGAACCCGGUGUGCCAGCGCUGCAAGGCGGAGGAUUAGCCUAGUGAGCCGCGGCACCGGCCGGAGAUAUUUUUCUGAGAAUUUACUAUUAGCAUACGGAAAUGAUAUUGAUUUUUACAUGUUGAUUUUGUUUCUUGCAAGUUUGCAGAAUUUGUUUAUUCUAACUUUUAUGGGUGAAGUUUUUAAAGUUUUCUAACAAAGCUUGACUUCCUCCUUUCCAAUUUGAAAGCCUUUCACCUCUUUUUACUGCCUAGAGGCUAUGGCUAAAGUUUCUACUACUAUGUUGAAUAGUAAUAGAGUGAGCAUUCUUGUCUUAAUCCAGAUCUUAGAGGAAAAAUUUUCAUUUUUAGUUCUGUGUUUGUCAUAUAUGGUCAUUAUUGUGUUAAGAUAUGUAUCUUCUAUACCUGAUUUCACUGAGAGUUGUUAACAUGAAUGGAUGUUGAAUUUUGUCAGAUGCUUUUUUUUACAUUCAUUGAAUUGAUAUAAUUUUUCUCAUUUCAGCUAAUGUAUCGUAUUUAUUGGUUUGUGUGUGUUAAAACAUCCUUGCAUCCUUUGGAUGAAUCACACUUGAUCAUAAGAAAUGAUCUGUUCAGUACACUGUUGAAUUAGGAUUGAUAGUAUUUUGUUAAGAAAUUUUGCAUCUAUGUUUACCAGAUAUCGUGACAUCUACAGUUUUCUUUCUGUGUUAUGCCUGGUUUUGAUAUCAGAGUAAUUCUGGCAUCAUGGAAUGAGUUUUAAAUUGUUUCUUCUUCUACACACUGUUGUUUGUUUGUUUUAGGAGGGGAUAGGGAAUAGUUUGAGUAGAAUUGAUAAUAUUUCCUUUAAAUGUGUGAUAAAAUUCGGAGGUGAAGCUGUCAGCUCAUUUACUUUUCUUUGAUAGAAGGCUUUUUAUCACUGAUUCCACUUGCUCACUCAUUAUUGGUCUGUUCAUAUUUUCUGUUCAUAAUCCCAUAUCAUUAGAUUAUCUGUGUCCAAGAAUUUACCCAUUUCUCCUGUUUCCCAGUAUGUGGUCAUGCAAUUAUGCUUAAUAGUUUCUCAUGAUCCUUUGUAUUUCUGAGAUAUCUGUUGUAUCUCAUUUGGCAUCUCUGACUUUUUUGAGCCAUCUCUAGUUUUCUUUUAAAGUUUCCAAUAAACGAACUCUUUAUUUCAUUGCUAUUUUAUAUUGUUUUUCUAUUCUCUAUUUUAUUUAUUUCUGAUCUCAUUUUUUUUUCUCCAUCUAAUUGAAUGAGCAACAAUGAGAGAGAGAAAUCUUCUGUCCACUGGUUCACUUCCCAAAUACCCACAAAAUUGGAGCAGGGUCAGGCUGAAGCCAGUAGCCCAGAACUCCAGGCCUAUCUCCCAAAUGGGUGGCAGGAGCCCAAGAGCUUGAGCCAUCAUUUGCUGCCUCCCAGAGUACAUUAUCAGGAAGUUGCAUCUGAAGCAGAAGGGCCGGGACUCAAACCCAGCACUCCAGUAUGAGAUGUGGGUGUCCCAGCUUGCAGUUUAACCAACCUCUCCACAAUGCCCACUCCUCUGCUGUGAUCUUUAUUAUUUCCUUCCUUUCAUUAAUUUGGGGCUUCCUUUGUUCUUCUUUUUUCUAGUUCCCUCAGUUGCAGUGUUGGGUUGUUUAUGUGAGAUGUUUCUGCUCAAUAUGUAGUCAUUUAUUACUAUAAACUUCUCUUUUAUAACUCCUUUUAGUGUAUCAUGUAAGUUUUGGUAACUUGUAUUUCCAUUUCCAUUUUCAAUCCAUUGACCCCUUGUUUAUUCAGGAAACUGUUGUUUAAUUUCCCAUGUAUUUGUAAAGCUUCUAAAGUUUCUAUAAUUUUUGAACUCAAGUUAUACACUUCUGUGGUCAGAAAAAAAUAUUUGAUAAGAUCUCUGGUUCCUCUUCCAGUCCAGCUCUCUGCUGUGGCCUGGGAAGGCAGUGGAGGAUGGUCCAAGUGCUUGGGCCCUGCACCCCAUGGGAGACCAGGAGGAAUCACCUGGCUCCUGGCUUCAGGUCGGCACAGCACGCCGGCCGUAGCAGCCAUUUGGGGAAGUGAACCAACAGAAGGAAGACCUUUCUCUCUGUCUCUCUCUCUCACUGUCUAACUCUACCUGUCCAAAAAAAAAAAAAAAAAAUCUCUGUCUUCUUAAUAUUUUUCAGGCUUGUUUUGUGGCCUAACACAUGAUUGCUCCCAAAGAAUUGCCCAUGUACAGUUGAGAGGAAUGUAUAUUCUCAAGUGCUUGGAUGUAAUGUUCUCAGAGAUACCUAUUUUUUUUAUUAAUUUUGUUCAAGGUAUACAAAUUUUAUGUAUUGCAAAUAUACAGAUUUAGGAACAUAACACUAUUUCUCACCCUAUCCUCUAUCCCACCCAUGCUCUUACCCUCUUCUUCUACCCUCUCCUAUUUUUACAAAGAUCUGUUUUCAUUUUACUUUAUAUGCAUAAGAUUAACCAUACACUAAGUAAAGGGUCCAACAAAUAGUAUGAGAAAAAUCACUGUUCCUCAACAAUACAGACAAGGACUAUAAACAAUCAUUGAUUCUCAAAAUGUCAAUUUGAAUUCAGUACAUUACAUUGUAGGUACUCUAUUGGUAACCACAGAUCAGGCAAAACAUAUGAUAUCUGUCUUUUGGGGACUAGCUUAUUUUCACCAAGUUAAUAGUUUCCAGUUGCAUCCAUUUUGUUGCAAAACAGGAUUUCUUUUUUUCUUUUCUUAACCACUGAGAACUAUUCCAUAGUGUAUAUAUAGCAUAAUUUCUUUAUCCAGUCAUCCGUUGAUGGACAUCUGAGUUGAUUCCCUAUCUUAGCUACUAUGAAUUCAGCUGCAGUUAACAUGGGGGUACAGAUAAAUCCUUCAACUGCUGAUUUCAUUUUGUUUGGGUAAAUUUUAGGAGUGGGAUUGCUGGGUCAUAUCAUAGAUCUAUUUUCAGAUUUCUGAGUUAUCUCCAUACUGUCUUCUACAGUAGCUAUGCCAAUGUAGUUUUCAGCAGUGUGUUUAGGAUACUUUUUCCCCAUAUCCUUACCAUCAUUUGUUUGCUGAUUUGUAUGAGAGCCAUUCUGACUUGAGUGAGGUGAAAACUCACUUUGGUUUUGAUUCGCGUUUCCCUGAUGGCUAGUGAUCCUGAGUAUUUUUUCAAGUGUCUGUUGGCCAUUUGAAUUUCCUAUUUUGAAGACUGCCUAUUCAUGUCCCUUUCCCAUUUCAAAACUGAAUUGUUUUAUUGUUGUAGAGUUUCUUGAGCUCUUUAUAGAUCCUAGAUAUUAAUCCUUUAUUUGUUGCAUAGUGUGCAAAUAUUUUCUACCAUUCUGUUGAUGGCCUCUUUGCUUUGCUGAAUGUUUGCCUUGCUGAAUGUUUUCUUUGCAGUUCAGAAGCUUCUCAGCUUGAUUUUAUCCCAUGUAUCAAUUUUGCUUGGAUUGGUUGUGUUUCUGGGGUUUGUUUCAACAAGUCUUUGCCUCUGCCAAUGUAUUUCAGAGCUCCUCCCAAUGUUCUCUAGUAACUUGAUGGUAUCAGAUCAUGGAUUUAAGGCUUUGAUCCAUUUUGAGUGGAUUUUUGUGUCAGGUGGAAGGUAGUGCUCUUGUUUCAUACUUCUGCAUGGGGAGAUAUAAUUUUCCCAGCCCUGUUUGGUGAAGAGAUUGUCCUUGCUCCAGCAAUUGAUUUUAGCUCCUUUGUUAAAGACAAGUUGGUUGUAGAUGCAUGGAUUGAUUCUGAAGUUUAUAUUCUGUUCCAUUAGUGUAUGUGUCUGGUUUUUUUGUUUCAUUUUGUUUUCUUUCCUUUUUUUUCUUUUCUUCCAGUACCAGGCUGUUUUGAUUAUACCUGCCCUGUAUUAUAUCUUGAAAUCAGAUAUUGUGAUGCCACCAGCUUUGUUUUGGUUGUAUAAGAUUACUUUAGCUAUUUUGGGUCUCUUGUAUUUCCAUAUGAAUUUUAAAAUCAUUUUUUCUGUGUCUGAGAAGAACGUUUUUGUUAUUUUGAUUGGGAGUGCAUGUUUCCAGUUGUAUUUACAUUUUCAUGACAUUGAUUCUUCGAAUUUAUGAACAUGGAAGACUUCCAUUUUUUGUGUGUCUUCUAUUUAUUUCAUUAAUGUUUUAUAAUUUUCAUCAUAUAGAUCUUUCACCUCCUAGAUUAACUGUAUUCCACAAUUUUUAAAAUUUUUUGUAGCUACUAUGAAUGGGAAUGAUUUUGGAAGCUCCUUCUCAGCCAAGGCAUUGUCUGUGUAUACAAAGACUAUUGAUUUUUGUGUGUUGAUUUUAUAUCCUGCCACUUUACCAAACUCUUUCACGAGUUCCAGUAGUUUCUCAGUGGGGUCUUUUGGAUUUCCUAUAUAUAGAAUCAUGUCAUCUGCAAAUACAGAUAGUCUGAUUUUCUCCUUUCUAAUUUGUAUCCCUUUGAUUUUUUUUUUCACGCCUAAAGGCUCCAGCUAAAACUUCCAGGACUAUAUGAAUAGCAAUGGUGAGAGUGGGCAUCCUUGUCUGGUUCCAGAUCUUAGUGUGAAUGCUUCUAAUUUUUCCCAAUUCAAUUAGAUGCUGACUGUGGGUUUAUUAUAAAUUGCCUUGAAUGUGUUGAGGAAUGUUCCAUCUAAACCCAGUUUGGUUAAGGUUUUUCAUCAUGAAAAAAUUUUGUGUUUUAUCAAAUGUUUCUCUACAGCUAUUGAGAUGAUCAUAACAAUUUUUAUUCUUAUGUUUGUUAAUGUGAUGUAUCACAUAAAUGAUUUGUGAUUAUUAAACUAUCCCUGCAUACCAGUUAUAUUUCCCACUAAGUUUGGGUAAAUGGUCUUUAUGGUAUGUUGUUAAAUUUGAUUAGCUAGUAUUUUGUUGAAUUUUUGCAUCCAUGUUCAUCAAGGAUAUUAGUCUUUAGUUCUCUUUCUGUGUUGUUUCUUUUUCUGCUUUAGGAAUUAAGGUGAUGCUGACCUCAUAGAAGUAAUUUGGUAGGAUUCCCUCCCUUUCAUUUGUUUUGAAUAGUUUGAAAAGGAUUGGAAUUAAUUCUUCCUUAUAUAUCUGGUAGAAUUCAACAGUAAAACCGUCUGGUCCUGGGCUUUUGUUUGUUGGGAGGGUCUUUAUUACUGAUUCAAUGUGUGUUUUGGUUAUUGGUCUGUUUAGAUGUUCUAUGUCUUCAUGAAUCAAUUUUGAUAGAUGGUAUGUGUCCAGGAAUAUCUGUGUAUAUCAUAGAUUUUUCAGUUUGUUGGCAUAUAGCUCUUUGUAGUAAUUCCUUGGUGAUUCCUUUUAUUUCUGUGUUACCUGUUGUUACAUUUCCUUUUUCAUCACAGAUCUCGUUGAUUUGGGUCUUCUCCCUUUUUUUUUUUUUUGGUUGGUUGGGCCAACAAUAUAUUAAUUUUCUUUAUUUUCUUCAAAUAACCAACUCUUUGUUUCACUGAUCUUUUAUAAUGUUUUUGUUUGUUUCAAUUUUAUUUCUUCUCUGAUUUUAAUUAUUUCUUUCCUCUUAUUAAUUUGGAAUUUGGUUUGUUGGUUUGUUGUUUUUCUAGGUCCAUGAGAUGCAUUGAUAGCUCAUCUAUAUGAUGCCUUUCCAAUUUCUUCAUGUAGACACCAACUGCUACAAACUUCCCUCUUAACACUGUCUUUGCUAUAUUCUGCAAGUUUUGAUAUGUUGUAUUAUGUUCAUUCAUUUCCAGAAAAAAUUUUUUUUAUUUCUCUUGAUUUCUUCCAUGAUCCAGUGUUCUUUCAGGAACAUAUUAUACAGUCUCCACUUGUUUGCAUAAGUUCUAGAGAUUCUCGAAUUGUUGAUUUCCAGCUUCAUUCCAUUGUGGUCAGAAAAGAUGCAUGGUAUGUUUUCAACUUUUUUGAAUUUCCUGAGACUUACUUUAAGGCCUAGCAUAUGAUCUGUCCUAGAGAAAGUUGCAUCCACUGAUGAAAGGAAUGUUUAUUCUGCAACUGUGGGAUGAAAGUUUCUAUAGAUAUGUUAGGUCCAUUUGGUCUGUAGUGUAGAUUACUCUAUUGUUUCUUUGUUGAAUCUCUGUCUGAUUGAUCUGUCCAUUGAUGAAAGUGUAGUGUUGGAGUCCCCCAUUACUAUUGUAUCCAAAUUUGUAUCUCCCUUUGAAUCCAUUAACAGUUGCUUUAGAAUAGCAAGACCCCUUGGCAUUUGGGUACAUAUACAUUUAUUAUAGUCACAUCUUCCUGUUGAAUUGAUUCCUUGAUCAUAACAUAAUGGCCUUUGUCUCCUUUAACAGCUUUUCUGUAAAGUCUAUUUUAUCUGAUAUUAGGAUGGCUACACCUGCUCAAUUCUGCUUUCCAUAAACAUGGAAUAUCUUUCCAUCCUUAUAGUUUCAGCUGGUGUGUAUCUUUGUUGUGAGGUGUUUUUCAUGGAGACAGCAAAUAUAUGAGCCUUGUUUUUUAAUCCAUUCAUUAGCCUGUAUAUUUUAACUGGAUAAUUUAAUUAGAGAAUUGGAGAGUUGAAACCAUUUACAUUCAAGGUUACUAUUGAUGUAACAACUUGCCCCUUCCAUUUCUUGGUAAAUAUUGUUUGCUUUGGAUUUCCUUUUUACUUUUAUUGGAAGAUUUUCCUCCUUUACAGUCUUUCAUAAUGGUGACUGUCUUUCUGUGUUUCCUUGUGUAGCACAUCCUACUGCAUCAUUUGUAAGUCUGGAUGAGUGGUCACAAAUUCUUUCCAUUUCCAUUUGUUCUGAAAGGUCUUUCACCUUUAUGCAUAAAUGAGAGGUUUGCCAGGUACAGUAUUCUGGGUUGCUAGCCCCAGCCAAUACUGGUUUCAGAAUGGUGGCUUCUCCCCACUCAUUGCCAAUGUGGGCACCUGAGCUGCUGCAGCCACUAAGUGCGUCAAGAUGGUACCCUCUCACUGCCAGUUACCAGGCAUGGUUGUAGGAGGAUGGAGAGAGAGAAAUGUGCCCUUUUUUUUGCUGAGUUAGACAGAUACGCUGUCCCCCUUUGUGCUCCAGGCUGGACUCAGCCAGGUUCUCCCUCUCACUAUAUUGCCAGUGGCACAAGUUACUGCAAUCUGCUCUCACCUUUCUCUCCAAAACUGGCUCUUCCUCCAGCUCUCAGCUGUGGGGAUAGUGUGUUAUGUCUGCAUUCGUAGCUAUGAGUCUGCACUUUCCAAGCUGAUCCACACAUCCCUCUAUCUUCUGUAGAAUUUCCACUGCAAAUUUUUCUCCAACUCUCCCCUGGGAAUACCCUUCCUCCACUUUUUUGCUGCUCUUUUUACCUAGCCUAAAGCAGUAUAUCCUUCUGCUAUUUCACCAUCUUAAGGAUCUCUAGACAGAACUAUUUUUGAGAGAGAGCAAUAUCCAGUUUUGUUUCAAGUUUAAAUUCUACCUUAGAGAAUCUGGGCAUGUUAACGCCUCCUUUUUUGCUCAACUGUGAAGUGCAGAUUAUAAAAUUCUCCCAAUAGUUAUAUGAUUCAUAUUUCCAAAUGAGAAUGAAACUUUUAAAAUGUAAGAUUUAAUAUAGUUAUCAUUUUUAUUGAUGAGAAGAGAAAUAAUAAUUUAUUGUUAAUAGAGCAUUUUAAGUGUCCUAUACUUUACUUAGAUUACCAGUAGUUUUCACAUGAUAGAAAUUAUUAUUUCCUAAUUAUAUAGAAAGAGAAAUGUGCUCUCAAAAUCAUAAGUGACUUGCACAAAGACUUUCAAAUUAGUCAGUUGCAGAAACAGAAUUCAAGUUCAGGUUUUAGUGGAUCUUAAUCCAAUACUCAUUGUAACAUAUUACCUCUCUGAUGAAUGCUAAAACACAGCAGUGGAGUAAGAAUGCAGGCUCAAUCUUAGGUUCCAUUAAUGGCCUUCCCCAUUUUUCCCUUCUAGAUUUUUAUUCAUGUCUUAUAUGCACAUGUUAAAUAGUAUUGAGGGCCGGCGCCGCGGCUCACUAGGCUAAUCCUCCGCCUAGCGGCGCCGGCACACCGGGUUCUAGUCCCGGUCGGGGCACCGGAUUCUGUCCCGGUUGCCCCUCUUCCAGGCCAGCCCUCUGCUGUGGCCAGGGAGUGCAGUGGAGGAUGGCCCAGGUGCUUGGGCCCUGCACCCCAUGGGAGACCAGGAAAAGCACCUGGCUCCUGGCUCCUGCCAUCGGAUCAGUGCGAUGCGCCGGCCGCAGCGCGCCGGCCGCGGCGGCCAUUGGAGGGUGAACCAACGGCAAAGGAAGACCUUUCUCUCUGUCUCUCUCUCUCACUGUCCACUCUGCCUGUCAAAAAAAAAAAAUAAAUAAAUAAAUAAAUAAAUAAAUAGUAUUGAGUGUCCCCUCCCUUGGAAUGCAGUAGAGGUAACUACUUAUAAGUAUUCUCUCUUAUUUACCAAACUAUUUCUAAAUCAUGUAGUUUUUACUUCUAUCUCUAAGUUUACCUAAAUUCAACAUUAUUUAUAUGUAAAAAAUAUAGGAAAUUUUCUCUGUCAUAGAUGAUGACUUAGCUCACUUAUACCAACUCAUAUUUCUGGGUCAUCCCACUCUUUAAAUACAAAACAAAAACAAAUAUUUACUUUAUUGAUCCUAUAUAAAUACCAUUUACUGUAAAACCAAGUAGUAUAUUGUAUUUCCUUCCUUAUACAAAAUUUUUAUUGCCUAGAGUUUUCCUCCCAUUUCCCACUAUAAGUUCUUUAUAACAUGCAGAUAAAUUUUUCCAUAUAUUCCUUUUCCUGUUUCCAUCACUAUUCUUUGAAGCAUUGUUUGGUUUAAUUAAAUUUUUAUUCAGUUAAUGUCAUGAUUAAAUUUUAUAGCAAGUUUUCCUGUAGGACUGCAGUUCGUCUUUGCCAGUAAUGCCUUGUAAUCCUUUUUUAAAAAAGAUUUGUUUACUUGAAAAGCAGAACUCCAGAGAGAGGGAUCUUCCAUCCAGUGGUUCAUUCCCUGAGAUAGCUGUACCAUCUGCUCUCCCACCUGAGUGGCAAGGGCCCAAGUACAUGGGCCAUCUUCUGCUACUUCCCAUGGAGUAGAGACCCGUUAGCAGGGAGCUGAUUCACAAGUGAAGCUGGCUCCCUAAAUUGUAAUUCUUAAAAAACCUACACCUUUGUUUCCAAAAUCUCCCCUAAAAGUUACAUUUACAACUUCUUUGCAUAAAAUACACAAACUUUAAAACAGAGAUCUGCAUGCUUUUUCUCACAAUAAAUAACCCCCGUGGAAGGAGUAUUUUAUAUUAAUCAGUAAGGAUUUAAAAUAUAUUAUCAAUUUUUAGCUUAUAUUUUUAAAAAUGUGUAAUCACUACCUUUUUUGAUAAGUAGACAUUGAAAAUAUUAAAGAUAAUAGAUGUCGUUAAUUGUUCAUUUGAUCCCUCAAAAGAGAUAGUCUUUCCCCAUAUAUACAAAAUAGAAAAGAUAGUAGCCCAAGACCAGUUAGAAAAUUGAGUCCCUUACUUGAGUUUAACAGCUACUUGGAAUCCACAAUUGGGCUGUUGAAAUUGAAAGUUGGAUAGUAUGUCAAAACACUUUGUAAGUCUUCUAAAUAUGAGAGCAAACUGUUAACAAUAUCUUUUCCUAAGGGUUAUGUGGAAGUUGGAAAAGAGGACUGUGAUUUUUUUUUUUUUUACCUGUAUACUGCCUUAACAUUUCAAAUUAUUUUGAGCAUGUGUUUUUUGAAGCCAAGGUCGGAAAGGAAUAGAUACAUUUUAAAAGAAAUAAAGUAAAGAAUAAAGCUGAGGCGGAUAAAGGUAUUUUAAUUUUUAUGUAUUAUUAAAAUGGUGAGCUAGGUACCCCGAUAUCUCAGGGUAAAUAACUAAUAAAGAUGUGAAAGUUACAAAACUUGUGUUAGCAUGCAACUGUGAACUGAAAAGAUGGAGACUAUUACAAGGCUACAACAGAGAAAAUAGUGUCUAGAGAGAUGAGGCUUGAGAGUGUUUGCUGAACUAGAAAAACCCUGGAUUACAGUUUUUGUGGCCUCCUGUUGAAAGAGGAACAGGAAGCAAGAUUAAGAUUCAUCCAAGGUAGAGCAUCAUCGGUACUUAAGGUCUUCUCAGCACAGACUCCAAAUCUCUACCCAUUCAUUGUAAAGGUACAAAAUAAAAUCAGCCUAUUACUUUCCUCAACACUCUAAGAAAAUUAUGUUGCUUAAAAUGACGCCAAGAAUUGACAUCUCCUUGAUCAUUGAUAAACAAGAGCUACUGUUGGAAAUUGCUAUUGAAGUUCACACUACACAUGUGAUACUUAAGAAAAGAAACACUUAAAAGGAGUUUUAGAUGACCCCAAACCUUUGGUCCCCCUCUAGUAGCCAGCAAAAAUAAACAUAAAUCCUUCCUGAAGGACUCAAAAAAUAGUUAUAUGGCUUUUCUUUUUCACCUAUUAAUAUGAUAAUAUAUUUUAUUAAAUUUCCCAUCAUAGGCAUGGAAAAUAUUAAAAUAUCAUGACAGUUAUCUGUUCUACUUGUCUUUAAAGAGCCAGUUUAUAUGUUUAGCUACAUCUACAUUUGGGUUUGUUUCAUUUCUUCUUGUUUUUAAUCUAUGCCUCCUUUUUUUCUGUGUUUUCAUAUUUAAAUUAUCCUUUUAUGAUUUCUUGGAUUAAAUAUCUGGAUCAUGUAUAUCAAAUUUUAUUUUUUUGAAAUUUUACUUAUUCAUUACAGAGAGGGAGAGAGAGCACCCAUCUACCGAUUUUUUUUUUAGUGUUUUUUAAAGAUUUAUUUUAUUUAUUUGAAAGGCAGUUACAAAGAGAAAGGGAGAGACAGAGAGAGCAAGAUAUCUUCUAUCCACUGGUCAACUCCCCAGAUGGCCGCAAUGGCCCAGGCUGGGCCAGGCCAAAGCCAGGAGCCAGGAGUUUCUUGUAGGUCUCCCACAUGGGUGCUGAGACCCAAGCACUCCUGUCCUCGUCUGCUGCUUUCCCAGGCACAUUAGCAGAGAGUGGAGUCAGAAGUGGAGCAGACGGUAUUUGUACUGGCACCCAUUUGGGAUGCCAGCAUUGCCACAAAGCCAGCCUCCAUAAUCCUCACAAUGGCUGGGACUUGGCUGUGCCAAAGCCAGGAGCAGGUCAUUGAAUUCAGGUCUCCAAUAUGGGUGGCAAGAACCCAAUUCCUUGAGCCAUUUCCACUGCCUUGCAAGGUCUGUAUCAGCAAGAAUUCAGAGUCAAAAGUGAGAGCUGAGUAUUGAGUUGAUAUACUAAGAUAUGGGACAUGGACAUCUUAACCCAGCUACCCACCUGCCCUUUAUUUAUUUCUGUAUUUUAAUGAAUGAGUUUAAAGCUCCAAGUUUUAUACUGAUCACUACUAAGUAGUCUGUGAUUUACUUUUAACUUCUGUUAUACAAGUAUUAUUUAGGAAAAUGUUUUCCUUUAAGUUGAAAGAGAAUACAGUUUUAGCUGUCCUUUUGUUAUAGGUUUAUAUUUUAUUUCUUCACAUAAUGUGGUAUACAUAAUUUCUACUUUGGAAAACUCAUUAAAAUUUUCUUUAUGCUCAAUAACCAUCACUUAUAUUGGCAUCAAAUAAUAUGUAUUCUCUGUUGUUCAUGCAGCUUGAUAUUUCUGUUAUGUAUUUUUGACUACUCAUUUGUUGAUUUGUUAGAGCCCUAUAUUUUGUUUCCCACUGUGGUUAUAGAUAAAUUUCUCUUUGUAUUAUGAAACAGUAUUUUUGUGUGCCUGUGCAUAUAUAUAAAGCAUAAUAUAUGGGACAAGGCUUUGAGAGUAUUAUAUAUUUUCCUUGAAAUUUAACUUUGAUCAAUUUAAGUAUUAUUCUCAUCCUAUUUAAUGAAUUUUGUAUUUAAUUCUGAUAAUUCUUCUGAUAGCAUUGCUAUGAUUCAUCUUUUUUCUCUGAUUGUAACAUCUCUCCAACAUAUUAAUUGUGUAGUUUUUAAUAUUAUGUCACUAUCUAUUUUGUUAGUUGGAGUCUGUGUCUUUUAAUGGAGGAAUAAAAUUCAUUAGUACAUAUUGUUGACUAUUGAUAAAUUAACAUUGAAUCCUGCCCCCUCAGUGGGUUGGUUUUCUACUCUAUUUUCUUGUGUAUUUGUUCAUCUUUUCUCUAUUUUUUUCUCAGACUGACCUUUUAUUCUGAUGUUUUGCAAAUUUUAUGUCCUGUUCUAAUUUUUGCCACAUACACAUAUAUGUAAACUUCUAUUUUCUAAUGAAUUCUAAGUAGUCAGUACUUAUGUCACUCAGUUGUAAUAAAACAAAAGGAAACUUUGAAUUUUCUCUCCCAUUUCCUCACAUUUCUGUAUGCCCAUUGCCAUCCCCCUUUGCUAGAUUAUAUUUGUUAGUCUGACCCUGAAACAUGUAUCUAACCUGUGUAUCUGAAUGAAGUACUGUGUUUCUUAGAUAACCCCGCCCUUCUUUCUUGAUUUCUUCUGUUGUUAAAGGAGUGCUCAGCUCAAGUGAAAUAUGCAUUCAAGAAAGGAUACAUAGGAGAGAAAUUUUCCAAGUCUUUGCAUGUAAAAAAAAAAAUCUAUUUUAUUUUUUUAUUUGAGAACUGCUUUUGUUGGAUACCAGAGUUAAAAAUCAUUCUCACAAUUUUUAAGAUUUUUCUGUUUCUUUAACAUUGUUAAUCAAAUGAUUGAUAUAUGACUUUUUUUUCCUUAUAAAAACCUGUAAGAUCUCUUUACCUAGUGAUCCAAAAUUUUAUAAAGUCCAAUCGUGAUUUCCCUCCAUUGACUUGACUUGGCGUACUCGUAAAGGGGCUUUCAUUCUGAAGUCUUAGUCCUUUUUAUCUCUGAAAAAUUAUCUUCUAGUAGUCUAUGAUUAUUUUCCCUCUAUAUUUCCCUUCUUUUUUUACCCCAUUCAUUUUAUUUUAACCCUAUAUAAUCUGUCCUAUUUACCUCUUAACUUCUUUCUCAUAUUUUACCUGUCUUGUGUUUUUAUUCUAGUUUUUGAAGAUUUUUAUCAAUUUUAUUUCAAAAUCCCCUAUUAAACUGGUUAGUCAUAUAUUUAAUUUCCAAGAGCACUUUCUUAUUCCAUUGUUAGUCUUUCUUGUUUUAUGGAUUAGAGGUUUUGCGUUCUAUAAAUAAUCUCCCUUUACUCAAUGAUCAAGUUUUUCAUUUGUUAUCUUUUUUUCUUCCUUGUGAUAUGUAUUUCAAACUGUCUGGUGAUUCUUGGUCCCUUUUUACUUUUUAAAUAGAUUAGCAGAUAAGCUCUGAGUUCUGUAUACCUGAACACAGAAUAUUAGCUAGUUUCCCUUAGAUGAGGAGUAUGUGAAGAUAGUUAUUAUGUUUUACAACCGCUAAAUUUGAAGAUGCUAUUGUUUCUGAUGGGCAUAGAAUUACCUCUUAUUCUAGUCACCUUGGUUCUAGUAUGUUCCAUUCCUUUUGAAAAGGAAUCUCCCCUUUUUCCUUUGAAAUCUUGGUAGAGGGGCAGGUGUUGUGGCACAGCAGUUAAGCUGCAGCUUGGCAUACCCACAUCCAAUAUCAGAGUGCAAAUUCAAGUCCUGACUCCUCUGUUUCCCAUGCAGCUGCCUGCUAAUGUGUUCCGGGAGACAGCAGGUGAUAGCUUGGGCCCCUACCAACCACAUGAGAAACAGGGGUGGAGUUCUGGCUUUGGUGUGGCCCAGCCCUAGCUGUUACUGGCAUUUGGGACUAUAUGAGUAGAUGGAAGAUCUCUCUCUCUCUCUCUUUCCCCCUCUCUCUCCCUUGCUGCCUUUCAAGUAAAUGGAAAAUAAAAUUUUUUAAAAAAAAAAUUUUAAUGGAGGAGGUUACCUGUCUGCUGAGUGUUCUGAGGCCCUGAGUAGGUCUGAAGUCCAUCCACACCUUUGUUCAACACUGCACAUCUCUACUCAAGUCCAGAACACUUUGUGUUUCUGAUUUCCCUGUCUUUCUAGGGUCCUCCUGCAAGUUGGUCUCUCCCUUCUACCAUCCCCUUAACUGCUGUACUUCAUCACUCACUACCCCUUCUAAUUUUCUUCCUUCUGAAUUGUUAUACUCCUUUUCCACUGAUAGGUGACCCCUCAACCCUUUCCCUUAUUGUUUGUUUUCCCUUUAAAAUUUUAUUUCUUUACUGCUGAUUUAAUGAGAUCUCAAGAGAGAAGAGAUAGGAAUAUGAGCUCAACCUAUCAUCACAUAACAGAAACCCAUCUUAAGAGCUGUGACUUCCUUUAUUGUUAUUUUUAAAAUAUGGAAUCUUUAAUUGAUGUUUUGAUUUCCACUUGGAGAUUGAUUUCUAGUCUCUAGGUAGUUUUAUUUACUCUCCUUAUCUUUAGUCAGUAAUUUCUAGUUUUAUUGCCCUGUGAUCAGUGACUGGCCUAUAAAAUUUUAAUUUUUGGAGCACAAUGAAAUUUCCUUUGUAGUAGGGAAUCUAAUCAGUUUUGGUAAACAUUCCACGGAUGUUUGGAGAUAAUUAUGUACUCUGUUAUAGUCACAGAUAUAUGCAUCUAUCAUAUUGGUUACUUUUGUAAUUUACUUUUGAAUGCUUGAUUUGUAAAUGACUAUGUGAAAGAAGUUUUUUUCCCAAAACAAUUAUUUCCAUCUUUUCAUGUUCUCCUUUAAUUUCAAAUAUCUUUUGUGUCAUGUCUCAGUGCCAUGUUGCUUGUAGUAUAAAAGUUCAUAAAACAGGGACCAGGGUUGUGACAUGGCGGGUAAAGCCACUGCUUGCAAUUCUGGCGUCCUUUAUGGGUGCCAAUUUGUGUUCCAGCUGCUUCACAUCCAAACCAACUCCUUGCUAAUGACCUGAAAAAAGCAGCAGAAGAUGACCCAAGUGUUUGGACCCUUGCCACCUACAUGGGAGACCCAGAUGAAACUCCUGACUUUGGCCUGGCCCAGUGCUGGCUAAUGCUGCCAUCUGUGGAGUGAACCAGCAAAUGGAAGAUCUCUCACUCUCUGUAACUCUGACUUUCAAAAUAAAUAAAUAAAUCUUUUUAAAAAUUUUCAUCAAGCUCAUAAAACUGCAUCCUCACGGUGGAUCUGUACUCUUUAGAAGAAAAAUUUUGAGAGACAGAGGUAGAGAGGGAGAUAUAGACAGAACUCCUAUUCACUGGUUCAGUCACCAAAUGCCAGUAACAGAUCUGUGAAUUUAGUCCGAGUCUCCUACUUGGUGACAGAAACCCGAACCUGAGCCUUCACUACUGCCUCCCAGAGUCUGUAUUAGCAAGAAGAUGGAAUCGGGAGCCAAAGCCAAGUUUUUUACUCAGGCAGUCUAAUAUGGGAUAUAUGCAUCCUAACUGAUAUCUCAAUUGAUAGGUCAAACACCCACUCCAUGUACUUUUGUAUCAUCUUAAAAUAACACACUUUGCCUACAUAUUUUGUUUUAAUUUCUUCAGAUAUGCUAUUAAUACUGCAUAUUUUAUUGUUAUUUUAAUUGACAGAGUAAAAUUAUAUAUAGUCUACAAAAUGAUGCUGUGAAAUAUACAUAUUUAAAUGACUAAAUCAAGCUGAUUAACAUAUGUAUUACUUCACAUAUUUACCUUUCUUGUCUUGGAAGGCACUUAAAAUUUAAUCUCUUAGCAAUUUUAAAUUUUAUAAUACAUUGUUUUUCAUUAUAAUGAAAAAUGGUGACUAUAGUCACCAUGUUGUAGAAUAACUUUAUCUUAUCCCUCCUAAUUGAAAUUUUUACCCGUUAACCAAUAGCUCCACAGUUCCCUUUCCUACCCAAGCCCCUGAUAAUCAGUUCAACUUUUUUCUAUUUUAAUAUUUUAUUUAUUUAUUUGAGAGAGCCACAGACAGAGAGGGAGAGACAGAAUGUUCUUCCAUUCACUGGUUCACUCCCCAAAUGGCAACAACGGCCAAGCUGGGCCAAUCCAAAGCCAGGAGCCAAGAGGUUCUCCCACAUGGAUGCAGGGGCCCAAGCACUUGGGCCAUCUUCCACUGCUUUCAGCAGAGAGCUGGAUCAGAAGAGGAGUGACCAGGACAGGAACUGGUGCCUGUAUGGGAUGCUGGCACCACAGAUGAAGGCUUAGCCUACUGCACCACAGUGAAGACCCCAAGUUCAACAUUUUUAGCUAUUUCUUCCUUCCUUCUAUCCUUCUUUCCUCUCUCCCUCCCUCCCUUCCUUACUUGCUUCCUUCCUUCGCUUUUAAAUUAUUUAUUAGAAUCAAGGACUUCCCGCCAGACCUUGUGGAGGUGGGCUUCCAAGAGAGGAAAACCCAAAGGGGACUGGUGACAGUUGGGCUUUAAGUACAAUUUCAAAGGAGAAAAAACUUGUCCAUUAGAUUGGCAUUCAGUUACCAGGUAGGGACAAAAAACCAUCAAAAGAACUCAUUUACAGUUCUCCAUUCUGUCUGGCCUGCUAAGGGUGGGAGCUCUGAGGAACUCCCUUGCUAUUCUCAUGGUAAAAGGAGAACAGCCUGUUAGUUCUUGUUAAAGAUAACAUUUGGGGGAAGGAAGCAAAUAUUUUACACCCCAAAUUCCACUGGGAUUCCCUGGCUAUUAACCUAUCUGACUCCUCCAGGAUGGAAACCCUAACAAAAUCUGUUAGUGGGAACUGGGCGAUGAUCCCUCUAGCUGCUUCAUGCUGAAAGGGGGCAUCUUUGGGAAGGGGAGUCAAGGCAAGGUUGCAGCAGGAGGUGGUUUCUGCAGGGGGAUGCAGUGCCAGCUUGCAGAAACUGCUUCCAUCAGAGGGUUCAUGUGCAUGGCCACCUAGAAUUUUACUUUUUUAAGUCUGGAGAAAACAACUCUAACAAGCAGUUUAAACUCACAGGAUCUAAAAUCACAGGAUCUAAAAACAAGGCCAGAGUCAUUAUUAGAGGCCCUAAGAAAAGUGUCUAAACCAUGAGCAAGUUUUUUUCAUUGAGAGGCAAAUACAAAGUAACAGGAAGGGCUUGAAAAUAAUCAGAUGGGUUUAAGGCCUUUUCGGUUAUGAGGCUCAGACACAUCUAUAUCUCUUCACAGGCACCCUGUUGACUUCCAUUACCUAGCUGGCCUGGGAGGAGAACUGGCUUAAAGAGAAGAUAGGUGGCAUUUCUAAAAGGAAAACAUUUAUUAGUUAGUAUACAGUUCUGCCUGCAAUGUUGUUGACCCUACUUGGCCAUCCCCUUGAUAGCAGUGGUUACUUUGGAAGCUGCUUCGCGUGAAGGGCGUGGCUUUUCUGCUUAGAGCGAACAAGGAGCCCUGACCUGGAUCCCUCCGACUUCAGGACUGGUCCAUUUCCAGUGACCCAACCCUUGGCUGGCAUAGCUGCCAAGCGCUCUUCUUAAGCUGAUUUCUGCUAAAGCCCUGGCUUUCCACAUGGAAAACCAGUGCAGUGGAUUGGCCUGUUGGGUCUCUAAUGGCACAUCACUGUGUAAAGCAGCCAUUAAUUGGCCUGCCACCUAUCUUUAUACUACUUCUGCAGCCUCGCUUCCUCUUCCUCCUGUUUUUUUGUUAACACGGACCAGAGGAAACCUUUAAGAGAAUGCAAGUCAAGGGGGUGCUCCACCCUCAUCUUUGUUAGCCUAAACUAGAAAUGUAUAGUCACAGGCAUGUUCUGAUAGUGGUUCUUCUUUGAGGUAGACAGUGCCCAUGAGGAAAUCUAUGUCAAAAAUGAUGACCACCUUAUUUAUUACAUUUUAAGUCAUUAGUAAAACUCUCUCCCUUUGUUUGGUUAAAAAAAAAAAGGGAAGGGAGGUUUUGCCUGUUCACUGUGCCUAUGGCAAAGUAAAUGUAGCUGGGGAAUCAUAAUUUAAGUUCUCAUUUUGGCAAUGCUAUUAUUACAGAAAAAAUGUUAGCCAUCCCUUUUAUAAGGUCUAAAGAUCACAUUGUACAUUCUAGAGAGUUCUUCAGAAUAGAAUUAGCUUUCUUUAAGAGAAUGGAGAAAUGAAGGAACAAGUUAGGCUUCCCAGAUUGCUUGCUGACAAUAACAAUAUCAAAUGAAAACUAGCAAACAAUUUUAACUGUUAAGUAACAACUUAACAUUUACCCGAAAACAUUUACCGGAAAGUCCAAUGCCU